CCUUGUACACACCGCCCGUCAAGCCACGAAAGUGGGGGAUAUCCGAAGUCGCCUUAGCAACCCGCAAGGGGGCCAAGCGCCUAAGAUAGACUCCGCGAUUGGGACU
This 106-nucleotide ribosomal RNA is filed under the name uncultured bacterium. Its description in RNAcentral is "partial 16S ribosomal RNA". It matches the Rfam family "Bacterial small subunit ribosomal RNA", at positions 1379 to 1482 of the family's 1533-position model. The record is from RNAcentral.